This is a long non-coding RNA of Myotis davidii, 196 nucleotides long. RefSeq lists it as uncharacterized. NCBI's taxonomy places the organism in Eukaryota, Metazoa, Chordata, Mammalia, Chiroptera, Vespertilionidae. The record is from RefSeq and is a predicted model, not a curated record. The transcript is spliced from 3 exons.
CCAGGUCCCCCGGGAUCCCCACAGCGGUGUGAUGGGGUGUCAGCGGCCGAGGGCACAUGGAGAGGGGCCGUCAGCACUCAUCCGUCAGGGCAGGGCUCUGGCCCCUGACAGCUGCCUGCCUGAGCCAGGGCCUAAGGGCCAAGCCCCAGGACAGGGGGUGCUGUGGGGAACAGAGCCAGCCUGGGGAUGUGUGUGU